Molecule: non-coding RNA, 97 nt
Filed under: Vibrio sp.
Lineage: Bacteria; Pseudomonadati; Pseudomonadota; Gammaproteobacteria; Vibrionales; Vibrionaceae
Also listed under: 1 other name
Description: Glycine sequence
Rfam family: Glycine riboswitch aptamer
About the family: This family represents the bacterial glycine riboswitch.
Source: RNAcentral
GGAGGAACCUCUGGAGAGAACCGUUUGAUCGGUCGCCGAAGGAGCAAAUCUCACCCCGUGAGACGAAACUCUCAGGCAAAAGGACAGAGGAGAGAAA